Molecule: ribosomal RNA, 239 nt
Filed under: uncultured Gardnerella sp.
Lineage: Bacteria; Bacillati; Actinomycetota; Actinomycetes; Bifidobacteriales; Bifidobacteriaceae
Description: partial 16S ribosomal RNA
Rfam family: Bacterial small subunit ribosomal RNA
Source: RNAcentral
GNGUACCAACCUGCCCCAUGCUCCAGAAUAGCUCUUGGAAACGGGUGGUAAUGCUGGAUGCUCCAACUUGACGCAUGUCUUGUUGGGAAAGUGUUUAGUGGCAUGGGAUGGGGUCGCGUCCUAUCAGCUUGUAGGCGGGGUAAUGGCCCACCUAGGCUUCGACGGGUAGCCGGCCUGAGAGGGCGGACGGCCACAUUGGGACUGAGAUACGGCCCAGACUCCUACGGGAGGCAGCAGGG